This 99-nucleotide signal recognition particle RNA is filed under the name Desulfuromonadales bacterium. Its description in RNAcentral is "signal recognition particle sRNA small type". It matches the Rfam family "Bacterial small signal recognition particle RNA". From Rfam's summary of the family: The signal recognition particle (SRP) is a universally conserved ribonucleoprotein involved in the co-translational targeting of proteins to membranes. The record is from RNAcentral. Lineage: Bacteria; Pseudomonadati; Thermodesulfobacteriota; Desulfuromonadia; Desulfuromonadales.
AGCCGGGUCCCGCGCAACGGCACGCUGUGAACUCCGCCAGGUCCGGAAGGAAGCAACGGCAGCGGCGCCCGUCGUGUGCCGCGGGUCAACCCGGCUAUC